GUUGUAUAGUCAAGUAAUGAAGUGCACAUGGUGGAUGCCUUGGCAGUCAGAGGCGAUGAAAGACGUGACAGCCUGCGAAAAGCGUCGGGGAGGCGGCAAUAUCCUGUGAUCCGGCGAUAUCUGAAUGGGGAAACCCACUUGUCAUAAGACAGGUAUCGUAAAUUUAUUUACGAGGCAAACCGGGAGAAGUGAAACAUCUCAGUAACCCGAGGAAAAGACAUCAAUAGAGAUUCCCCUAGUAGCGGCGAGCGAACGGGGAGGAGCCGACUGAUUAUAAUUUAGAGGAAUGACUUGGAAAGGUCAAUCGUAGAGGGUGAUAAUCCCGUACUCGAAAGGUUAUAAGAAGCAUAUUAAGUAGGGCGGAACACGAGAAAUUCUGUCUGAA
Molecule: ribosomal RNA, 385 nt
Filed under: Escherichia coli
Lineage: Bacteria; Pseudomonadati; Pseudomonadota; Gammaproteobacteria; Enterobacterales; Enterobacteriaceae
Also listed under: 2 other names
Description: partial 23S ribosomal RNA
Rfam family: Bacterial large subunit ribosomal RNA
Source: RNAcentral